AGUAGCUCAGUGGUGGAGCUCCCGAUUCGUAUGCGGGAAGGACUGGGUUCGAUUCCCGGCU
This is a transfer RNA of Toxocara canis (dog roundworm), 61 nucleotides long. It matches the Rfam family "tRNA", at positions 6 to 65 of the family's 71-position model. Rfam says of the family: Transfer RNA (tRNA) molecules are approximately 80 nucleotides in length. Their secondary structure includes four short double-helical elements and three loops (D, anti-codon, and T loops). NCBI's taxonomy places the organism in Eukaryota, Metazoa, Nematoda, Chromadorea, Rhabditida, Toxocaridae. The record is from Rfam.